UUAAAUUGAAGAGUUUGAUCAUGGCUCAGAUUGAACGCUGGCGGCAGGCCUAACACAUGCAAGUCGAACGGUAACAGGAAGCAGCUUGCUGCUUUGCUGACGAGUGGCGGACGGGUGAGUAAUGUCUGGGAAACUGCCUGAUGGAGGGGGAUAACUACUGGAAACGGUGGCUAAUACCGCAUAACGUCGCAAGACCAAAGAGGGGGACCUUCGGGCCUCUUGCCAUCAGAUGUGCCCAGAUGGGAUUAGCUGGUUGGUGAGGUAACGGCUCACCAAGGCGACGAUCCCUAGCUGGUCUGAGAGGAUGACCAGCCACACUGGAACUGAGACACGGUCCAGACUCCUACGGGAGGCAGCAGUGGGGAAUAUUGCACAAUGGGCGCAAGCCUGAUGCAGCCAUGCCGCGUGUAUGAAGAAGGCCUUCGGGUUGUAAAGUACUUUCAGCGGGGAGGAAGGUGUUGUGGUUAAUAACCGCAGCAAUUGACGUUACCCGCAGAAGAAGCACCGGCUAACUCCGUGCCAGCAGCCGCGGUAAUACGGAGGGUGCAAGCGUUAAUCGGAAUUACUGGGCGUAAAGCGCACGCAGGCGGUCUGUCAAGUCGGAUGUGAAAUCCCCGGGCUCAACCUGGGAACUGCAUUCGAAACUGGCAGGCUUGAGUCUUGUAGAGGGGGGUAGAAUUCCAGGUGUAGCGGUGAAAUGCGUAGAGAUCUGGAGGAAUACCGGUGGCGAAGGCGGCCCCCUGGACAAAGACUGACGCUCAGGUGCGAAAGCGUGGGGAGCAAACAGGAUUAGAUACCCUGGUAGUCCACGCCGUAAACGAUGUCUACUUGGAGGUUGUGCCCUUGAGGCGUGGCUUCCGGAGCUAACGCGUUAAGUAGACCGCCUGGGGAGUACGGCCGCAAGGUUAAAACUCAAAUGAAUUGACGGGGGCCCGCACAAGCGGUGGAGCAUGUGGUUUAAUUCGAUGCAACGCGAAGAACCUUACCUGGUCUUGACAUCCACAGAACUUUCCAGAGAUGGAUUGGUGCCUUCGGGAACUGUGAGACAGGUGCUGCAUGGCUGUCGUCAGCUCGUGUUGUGAAAUGUUGGGUUAAGUCCCGCAACGAGCGCAACCCUUAUCCUUUGUUGCCAGCGGUUAGGCCGGGAACUCAAAGGAGACUGCCAGUGAUAAACUGGAGGAAGGUGGGGAUGACGUCAAGUCAUCAUGGCCCUUACGACCAGGGCUACACACGUGCUACAAUGGCGCAUACAAAGAGAAGCGACCUCGCGAGAGCAAGCGGACCUCAUAAAGUGCGUCGUAGUCCGGAUUGGAGUCUGCAACUCGACUCCAUGAAGUCGGAAUCGCUAGUAAUCGUGGAUCAGAAUGCCACGGUGAAUACGUUCCCGGGCCUUGUACACACCGCCCGUCACACCAUGGGAGUGGGUUGCAAAAGAAGUAGGUAGCUUAACCUUCGGGAGGGCGCUUACCACUUUGUGAUUCAUGACUGGGGUGAAGUCGUAACAAGGUAACCGUAGGGGAACCUGCGGUUGGAUCACCUCCUUACCUUAAAGAAGC
This 1556-nucleotide ribosomal RNA is filed under the name Salmonella enterica subsp. enterica serovar Kentucky str. SA20030505. RNAcentral describes it as "16S ribosomal RNA". It matches the Rfam family "Bacterial small subunit ribosomal RNA". The record is from RNAcentral. Lineage: Bacteria; Pseudomonadati; Pseudomonadota; Gammaproteobacteria; Enterobacterales; Enterobacteriaceae.